Molecule: ribosomal RNA, 231 nt
Filed under: uncultured bacterium
Lineage: Bacteria
Description: partial 16S ribosomal RNA
Rfam family: Bacterial small subunit ribosomal RNA
Source: RNAcentral
GAUCCUGGCUCAGGACGAACGCUGGCGGCGUGCUUAACACAUGCAAGUCGAACGGGGCGCUUAUGAUGGAGAUUUCGGUCAACGGAUUAGGCUGCCUAGUGGCGGACGGGUGAGUAACGCGUGAGUAACCUGCCUUUCAGAGGGGGACAACAGUUGGAAACGACUGCUAAUACCGCAUAAUAUAUAUGGACCGCAUGAUCUGUGUAUCAAAGAUUUAUCACUGAAAGAUGG